UACGGAGGAUCCGAGCGUUAUCCGGAUUUAUUGGGUUUAAAGGGUGCGUAGGCGGACUGGUAAGUCAGUGGUGAAAUGCUGCAGCUCAACUGUAGAAUUGCCAUUGAUACUGUCAGUCUUGAGUACAGAUGAGGUAGGCGGAAUGUGGUGUGUAGCGGUGAAAUGCUUAGAUAUACCACAGAACACCGAUUGCGAAGGCAGCUUACUAAACUGACACUGACGCUGAAGCACGAAAGCGUGGGUAUCAAACAGGAUUAGAUACCCUGGUAGUCCACGCUGUAAACGAUGAUUACUGGUUGUUUGCGAUAUAUAGCAAGUGACUGAGCGAAAGCAUUAAGUAAUCCACCUGGGGAGUACGUCGGCAACGAUGAA
Molecule: ribosomal RNA, 372 nt
Filed under: uncultured bacterium
Lineage: Bacteria
Description: bacterial SSU rRNA
Rfam family: Bacterial small subunit ribosomal RNA
Source: RNAcentral